UAACUUUCAACAACGGAUCUCUUGGCUCCUGCAUCGAUGAAGAACGCAGCGAAAUGCGAUAAGUAAUGUGAAUUGCAGAAUUCCGUGAAUCAUCAAAUCUUUGAACGCAAAUUGCACUCCUUGGUAUUCCGAGGAGUAUGCUUGUUUGAGGGUUGUUC
RNAcentral lists this ribosomal RNA (158 nucleotides) under Acaulospora paulinae. Its description in RNAcentral is "5.8S ribosomal RNA". It matches the Rfam family "5.8S ribosomal RNA". From Rfam's summary of the family: 5.8S ribosomal RNA (5.8S rRNA) is a component of the large subunit of the eukaryotic ribosome. It is transcribed by RNA polymerase I as part of the 45S precursor that also contains 18S and 28S rRNA. Lineage: Eukaryota; Fungi; Glomeromycota; Glomeromycetes; Diversisporales; Acaulosporaceae. The record is from RNAcentral.